This 69-nucleotide transfer RNA is filed under the name Rattus norvegicus (Norway rat). It matches the Rfam family "tRNA". From Rfam's summary of the family: Transfer RNA (tRNA) molecules are approximately 80 nucleotides in length. The record is from Rfam by way of RNAcentral. Lineage: Eukaryota; Metazoa; Chordata; Mammalia; Rodentia; Muridae.
GGGGAUUUAGCUCAGUGGUAGGGUGCUUGCCUAGCAAGCACAAGGCCCUGGGUUCGGUCCCCAGCUCCG